RNAcentral lists this ribosomal RNA (465 nucleotides) under uncultured bacterium. RNAcentral's name for it is "bacterial SSU rRNA". It matches the Rfam family "Bacterial small subunit ribosomal RNA", at positions 330 to 793 of the family's 1533-position model. The record is from RNAcentral.
CCCAGACUCCUACGGGAGGCAGCAGUGAGGAAUAUUGGUCAAUGGUCGGGAGACUGAACCAGCCAAGCCGCGUGAGGGAGGAAGGUACAGAGUAUCGUAAACCUCUUUUGUCAGGGGACAAAGACUGGGACGCGUCCCCGGAUGAGUGUACCUGAAGAAAAAGCAUCGGCUAACUCCGUGCCAGCAGCCGCGGUAAUACGGAGGAUGCGAGCGUUAUCCGGAUUUAUUGGGUUUAAAGGGUGCGUAGGCGGGCAUUUAAGCCGGCGGUCAAAUGUCGGGGCUCAACCCCGGCCUGCCGUCGGAACUGGGUGCCUUGAGUGGGCGAGAAGUAUGCGGAAUGCGUGGUGUAGCGGUGAAAUGCAUAGAUAUCACGCAGAACUCCGAUUGCGAAGGCAGCGUACCGGCGCCCAACUGACGCUCAUGCACGAAAGCGUGGGUAUCGAACAGGAUUAGAUACCCCCGUAC